GCUCUAUUUUUACCACACGGAAGCGAUAUCACAAUACGACUGGUACGAUGGUUUAUCAAGCAGAAUAUAAUGUGAAUUCGCUGUUGUACCUCGCUGUAUCGUGUUUACUGCAGUGGCUUCAAGUAAUUUUCAUAUUCUAUUGUACAAAUGCUGUUGUACCUCGCUGUAUCGUGUUUACUGCAGUGGCGGCGCUACGGGAGGUGGGGGAAGGAGUCAUUUCCCCAGAAAAUUGUCUUUCUCCAGUUUCCUCCCCCCCCCCCCAACCAACAACAGAAAAAAGAAAAACCACAAUUCGUCAGGGAGAAACAUUUUUUUGCUCUAUUUUUACCGCACGGAAGCGAUAUCACAAUACGACUGGUACGAUGGUUUAUCAAGCAGAAUGUAAUGUGAAUUCGGUCAGUUGGGCGUUUUAAUAUUUGCAUUGUAUAAUCUUGUUUUUAUUUCAUUGUAAGAGUUUGUUCUAUCUGUAAAUUUCCCGUCGAUUUAUAAUCAGGCGGUACUGGGUAAGGACA
Long non-coding RNA from Anneissia japonica, 512 nucleotides. RefSeq lists it as uncharacterized. The record is from RefSeq and is a predicted model, not a curated record. NCBI's taxonomy places the organism in Eukaryota, Metazoa, Echinodermata, Crinoidea, Comatulida, Comatulidae. The transcript is spliced from 4 exons.